CGGAGCCGGCGGGUCCCGGCUGCCCGAGACAGUCACUGCCCUGACGGCGGCGGUGGCGGCCGCUGGCCGGUGGGGGUGGGGAGCGGCACGGCCCGGGCUGCUGGGGCAGCUGGAGCUGGCCGUCGCCGGGAGCCAAGAGGCGGAUCUGCAGCUGGGAGCGCACCCCAGGCCGGCAGAGGAGGCGGCUGCAGCCGGAUCCGGGAGCGCUGCUGGUGGCGGCGUCUCGCGCAGCCAGUGCCUGAGGCGGCGGCGGGGCCCGAGGGUGAAAAGGUUCCAAAAAUCGAUAUUAAAUUAUUAAAAUCGGCUGAUUGGGAAUUGCAACCAGAGAAGAAAAUAAUGCAAAAGGGAAAUAGAACSAGUAUCUUUGAGGGUUACUUAUGGAAAUUGUGGAUUACCUGGACAUCUUAAGACCCAGGAACCCGUUUAUUAAGAAUCUGCUGUCUUGAAAAAUGCAUUUUAUGAAUGCUUUGAAUUAAGAAGGUGUAAACAGUGGUUUGUCAUUUCUGCCACAUAAGAGAUAAUCUGAAUCUUCCCUCGCAGUUGCCCAGAUGCCUAAAACUGGCAAGAACUAGUACUUGGAGUGGUCAUCCUUCAACAGGAAAUACAGAGCUACCUAUGUACUAUAUAAAUGUUAUCUCUUUGAUAACAUUUAAGAUAAUGGACUGCUUUUCUACAUCUAAUUUUCAUACACACAAUUAACACUUGGAGUCUGGAGAAGCAUUUGUUAUGUAUUGAAAGACUGAGUUUUCUCUUUUUGAGUUUUCCAGAUUUAUUAUUUCAUCUGUAUGUUUGAAAUCUCUACAGUCACAUAAACUCCAGACAUAACGAUGGAGCUAUAUGACCCAUCAAGAUAUACAAAAACUAUUGGCAAGCUUUGGAACCAGUUGUUUUUGCAUCUGUUCAACAAUUAAUAUAUUCUCUGCUAAUCAAGAAUAUGGAAGCAAAUAUAGUCAUGCACAUUGUAUUGAUAAAUUGUGACUGUUGAAUUUUUCUGUAACUGGUUACUUUUGUCAUUCAAAUGCAAGUUAUGUCCAAAUGGAUAUAAAGACUAUAUUGGUGUACCUAGCUCCUAGCCAGUG
Molecule: long non-coding RNA, 1079 nt
Filed under: Urocitellus parryii (Arctic ground squirrel)
Lineage: Eukaryota; Metazoa; Chordata; Mammalia; Rodentia; Sciuridae
Description: lncRNA (ENSUPAG00010021484.1)
Source: RNAcentral